Molecule: RNA transcript, 1312 nt
Organism: Odobenus rosmarus divergens (Pacific walrus)
Lineage: Eukaryota; Metazoa; Chordata; Mammalia; Carnivora; Odobenidae
Gene name: zinc finger protein 84-like
Exons: 3
Source: RefSeq, a predicted model, not a curated record
AUGUUCUUUCAGGGAUCAUUGUCGUUUGAGGAUGUGGCUGUGGACUUCACGCGGGAGGAGUGGCAGCUGCUGGACUCUGCUCAGAAGACUCUGUACAGAAAUGUGACGUUGGAGAACUUGAGCAGCCUUGUGUCACUAGGGUUUCAACUUAUCAGACCAGAUGUGAUCUUUAGACUGGAGCAGGAGAAGCCACGGGUAAUCAGUGAAGACAUCCCCAGUCAGAGCUUUUCAGAAUACUGGAGAGUUGAUGAUUACAAAGCGUGGCACCAAGAAAUUCAAGACAGGAUUAAAAAAUUGGAACAAGUCCAUGAAACGAAUGUAAGUGGAAAAAUAUUUCAGUCUGGCAUGAACCUUGCACCUUUAAAGCAAAAGCCCAAUAAGCGUGUCUCAAAUGGAAAACAUUUGAAAUACUCAUUAGAUUUAUUUACUCAGACUGGAAACUGUGGAAGAAAGCAAGCUGGUAAGGGCAAUGGAUAUGAGAAAUCCUUUCUCCAUACUGAACAUGAAAAAACUCAUGUUGGAUUAAAAUACUAUGAAUGUAGUGAAUGUGGAAAAGUCAUCAGCAAGAAGUCACGACUCAUUGUCCAUCAGAGAACACACACAGGAGAGAAACCAUUCAAAUGCAGUGGAUGUGGCAAAGCCUUUUCCCAGAAGUCACACCUUGUUACACAUCAGACAGUUCACACGGGAGAAAAACUUUAUGGAUGUGAGUGUGGGAAGGCCUUCUCUAGAAAGUCACACCUCAUCACACAUCAGAGAACUCACACGGGAGAGAAACCGUAUGAAUGCAGCGACUGUGGGAAAGUGUUCUCUCAGACAUCACAGCUUAUCAUUCAUCAGCGAAGUCACACGGGAGAGAAACCCUAUGCCUGUGGUGAAUGUGGGAAAGCCUUCAGUGGGAAAUCACAACUUAUUACUCAUAAGAGAACCCAUAUAGAUGAAAAGCCCAACAAAUGCAGUGAAUGUGGCAAAGCCUUCAGAGAGAAGUCAAGUCUCAAUAAGCAUCAGAGAAUUCAUUCAGGAGAGAAACCCUAUGGAUGCAGUGAGUGUGGGAAAGCCUUCAGUGGGAAGUCAUUGCUCAUUAGACAUCAGAAAACUCAUUCAGGAGAAAAGCCCUAUGGAUGCAAUGAGUGUACAAAAGCAUUUAUUUGGAAGUCACAGCUCAUCAUACACCAGCGGACUCACACAGGAGAGAAGCCCUAUGGGUGUGGCGAAUGCGGGAAGGCCUUCUCCCAGAAGUCACACCUCAUCAUACAUCAGAGAACUCAUAGAACAGAAACCCUAGAAACAGAGUGAAUGUGAGAAACUUUGA